Molecule: long non-coding RNA, 430 nt
Organism: Arabidopsis thaliana (thale cress)
Lineage: Eukaryota; Viridiplantae; Streptophyta; Magnoliopsida; Brassicales; Brassicaceae
Product: other RNA
Exons: 1
Source: RefSeq
UUAUGGAGGAGUUCAAGAUUAAUCCCUCGGGAGAGGGUAUCCCAUGGGUAGGAUUCUCACCGGGUUUUCAAAUGGGCCUUAAGCAGUAGGCCUAUACCCAUGUGGCCAAAGGGAUGUUGCUAAGCAAUUCUGCGUUUGGGGAGAGUCGAUCCCUGACCUAGACCAACAGGGCCACUCUUCCACCAGACUAGAACCACUAGCCCACCACCUCUGGUUAAGAGAGAAUAUAUAGUUGGGAACCGUUUCUUAAAUUACUAGAAAUAUCCCCGUCGAAGUAUAAGCCGUUGAUAACUUCUUCCUCAGUUCCUUGCGUUCUUUAAAAAUGUUAAGCGGAUGAAAUCUUAUCAAAUAUGUCUUUGAAAAUUUGAGUGAGAUGGGCCAUCGCCAGAGUCGUUCCGACAUUUUUCAUAUGUGAGAUGUCCAAUGUAAA